UUGGAGGGCAAGUCUGGUGCCAGCAGCCGCGGUAAUUCCAGCUCCAAUAGCGUAUAUUAAAGUUGUUGCAGUUAAAAAGCUCGUAGUUGAACUUCGGGGUUUACCCAUUGGUCAGGCUUAAUUGUCUGUACUGGUGAGAUGAAUCUCUACCUUCUGAGGAACUUUCACGCCAUUUAUUUGGUGUGAUGGGAAAUCAGGACUGUUACUUUGAAAAAAUUAGAGUGUUUAAAGCAGGCUAACGUCUGAAUACAUUAGCAUGGAAUAAUGAAAUAGGACGGACUGAUUCUAUUUCGUUGGUUUCUAGGAUCACCGUAAUGAUUAAUAGGGAUAGUUGGGGGCAUUAGUAUUCAAUUGUCAGAGGUGAAAUUCUUGGAUUUAUUGAAGGCUAACUACUGCGAAAGCAUUUGCCAAGGAUGUUUUCAUUAAUCAAGAACGGAAGUUAGGGGAUCGAAGACGAUCAGAUACCGUCGUAGUCUUAACCAUAAACUAUGCCGACUAGGGAUCGGACGAAGUUAAUUUUAUAAUGACGCGUUCGGCGCCUUACGGGAAAC
This 551-nucleotide ribosomal RNA is filed under the name uncultured Diversisporaceae. RNAcentral's name for it is "SSU rRNA". It matches the Rfam family "Eukaryotic small subunit ribosomal RNA", at positions 548 to 1098 of the family's 1831-position model. The record is from RNAcentral. Lineage: Eukaryota; Fungi; Glomeromycota; Glomeromycetes; Diversisporales.